RNAcentral lists this ribosomal RNA (2116 nucleotides) under Paragnathia formica. Its description in RNAcentral is "Eukaryotic small subunit ribosomal RNA". It matches the Rfam family "Eukaryotic small subunit ribosomal RNA". Lineage: Eukaryota; Metazoa; Arthropoda; Malacostraca; Isopoda; Gnathiidae. The record is from Rfam by way of RNAcentral.
UACCUGGUUGAUCCUGCCAGUAGCGUAUGCUUGUCUCAAAGCUUAAGCCAUGCAUGUCUAAGUAGAAGCCCUAGCAAGGCGAAACCGCGGAAGGCUCAUUAAAUCAGUCUGAAUCUAAAGGCAUUUGUUAGAAUCGAUUUUGUCGCAUUUUUACUUGGAUAACUGUGGUAAUUCUAUAGCUAAUACAUGGACACCGUGGUACCACUGUUUCACCUACGGCUGAAACAGAGACCGCUAUUGUUGCAUGGAACGCACUGGGAUUCUCAGGAAUUUCAAUAAAAACGAUGAAUCACAACAAAUUAGCCGAGCGUAUGGUCUCGAACCGACGCUGUACCUUUCGAGCGACUGCCUUAUCAGCUUUCGAUUGUAGGGUAUUGUCCUACAAUGGCGAUAACGGGUAACGGGGAAUCAGGGUUCGAUUCCCGGAGAGGGAGCCUGAGAAACGGCUACCACAUCUAAGGAAGGCAGCAGGCACGCAAAUUACCCACUCUCAGCACGGGGAGGUAGUGACAAAAAAUAACGAUGCGUGUCUCUUUCUGAGGCCUCGCAAUCGGAAUGGAUUUAUACUUAAAUCACUGAAUGAGGAGCAAUUGGAGGGCAAGUCUGGUGCCAGCAGCCGCGGUAACUCCAGCUUCAGUAGCGUACGUUAACGUUGCUGCGGUUAAAAAGCUCGUAGUUGGACCUUAAGUGCGGACGGUCGAUUCACCCAUCGGAAUGCUAGCGGUCAAAGGAGUCAAAUCCGGAGGCCAAUAGCCUCGUUGGCUGAUAUCAACGGCCGAUUAUUCCGUCACUUGAUGAAGAUUUGUCGGUUUAUAUGUGUGUUGGGCACUCUCUCGGGUGUUCUAGCUCACGUGGCUGACAAUGUCACUUUGCAAAAAUGAGAACGAUUAAGGUAGGCUGAAUGCCAUGAAUAUUCAUGCAUAGUACGAGAGAAUAGGACUUUGUCUCUGUUUGGUGCACAGAAUGAUGAAGUAAUGAUUAAGAGAGACAGACGGGGACGUUCGUACUGCGGCGUUAGAGGUGAAAUUCUUGGAUCGCUGCAAGACGAACAAUCGCGAAGGCAUUCGUCCAGAACGCUUUUCUUAAUCAAGAACGAAAGUUAGAGGAUCGAAGGCGAUCAGAUACCGCCCUAGUUCUAACCGUAAACGAUGCUGACCGGCUAUUAGUCGGUGUUAUACCCAAACACACGAUUAGCAACCCCCGGGAAACCAGAGUCUUUGUGUUCCGGGGGGAUGUAUGGUUGCAAGGCUGAAACUUAAAAGGAAUUGACGGAAGGGCACCACCAGGAGUGGACUGCGGCUUAAUUUGACUCAACACGGGAAAACUUACCAGGACAGGACAUCGGAAGGACUGACAGAUUUUAAGCUCUUUCUCGAUUCGAUGGGUAGUGGUGCAUGGCCGUUCUUAGUUGGUGGAGUGAUUUGUCUGGUUAAUUCCGAUAACGAACGAGAUUUUGCCCUGCUAAUUAGUCUGCUGAUUAUAUCGGGUCGUCUGUUCCUUCGGGUUCAGCGGCUUGGAACCUCAUGGCUUGGGUAUGCUUCGAUUGGGGGUGUAGGUGGUGCUUUGGGAAGACGGUGUGUUUGCGUCGGUUCUUCUGAGCUGUGCAGCACGCUGUUGGAUUAUUGCCUGUAAGCUUACGCUCUCGGUUGGUAUUCCUUGCCGAUUGUGGUGUCAGUAUUGUGUCUUCUUAGAGGGAACGGCAUCGUAUAGUUGCACGAGAUUGAGCAAUAACAGGUCUGUGAUGCCCUUAGAUGUCUUGGGCUGCACGCGCGCUACAAUGGAGAGAUCAACGCGCUUUCUACCUGCUCCGAGAGGAGUUGGGAACCCGCUGAAAUCUCUCCUCAAUUGGGAUUGCGGUUUGAAAUUGUUCCUCAUGAACGAGGAAUUCCUGGUAAGCGUGAAUCAAUCAGUUCACGAUGAUUACGUCCCUGCCCUUUGUACACACCGCCCGUCGCUACUACCGAUUGAAUGAUUCAGUGAGGCUAUUGGACUGGCACCCCAGAAUAGAAAUUUAUUUCUUUCCGGGGGUUGACGGGAAGAUGUCCAAACUGGAUCAUUUAGAGGAAGUAAAAGUCGUAACAAGGUUUCCGUAGGUGAACCUGCGGAAGGAUCAUUA